This is a long non-coding RNA of Cuculus canorus (common cuckoo), 1583 nucleotides long. RefSeq lists it as uncharacterized. The record is from RefSeq and is a predicted model, not a curated record. Lineage: Eukaryota; Metazoa; Chordata; Aves; Cuculiformes; Cuculidae. The transcript is spliced from 3 exons.
UUAUCGGCUGCCUAAGGUAACGCCGGUAAGAUCCAUGGUUAGGAGUCGCAGAGCAUCUGCUUGGGCACAGAUUCACUGUAGAGGAACACCUAAAGAGGCAGAGUUACAUCCAAGAGAUGCUCCGCACAAAGUUUCUGCUGCCACACACCCGCGUGCUCAGGUUGUGCUGCUGCUGGACUCAGAAUCAUGGGAAUACACGAUCCUAUCAGUUAAUAGACAGACGUACAUUGAAGCGAUGCUCUCCAGAAAGUUUCUGUUGCCGCACACCCGUGUGCUCUGUCCCGGUGCCGUUGGAACUCUUCAUUAACUCACAUCAGGUGCACACCUCGCGGUUUGUACUAAUUGUACAAUCACAGGUACUUUGGGAGUACAUAACACCAUCUCUGUUUAACAAACAUUGCUGCUAAAGGAACACAUCUUGAGGGCCCACAUUAUUAUUCAAAUUGAUGCUGAGGAUGAUGUAAAGAAGGAAGCGUUCAGCAGCACUUCACCCACCUCUGUACAGCAACUCCUCUCAGUCUCAUUACGCUGUUUAUCCAAACGCAGUGAGAUGCCAUCCCAUUGGUAUCGCGCUACUAAUUGGAACUGCUGCUUUCAAAAAGGAAAAUUCUUCUUUUCUGUUUCAGCAAUAGGUAAGCCAAGAAUGUCAGCAGCGAAUAUCUCUGCUGUGAUUUCCUCUGGAAUUUCUUCUUCAGAUAAAGCUGCUGCACCUGGAGAGCAAUAACAACAACAGAAAAAACCACACAAUAGCAGUGUGAAAAUGGCUUUCCAGAUCAGUAAAAUUUACAAGCAACAGAUCGUUACCACAAAAACUAGAAGGCAACUGGAACAAGAAGAGUGUACAAAUGAAACAGGACAGUUUGAAAGAGGAUUUGGUUUCUCUGAGAUAGAGAAACACAUCACCAGUUGAAACGCAUGAUCCCGACCUUGAUCCUAAGGAAAAUGGUUCUUGCAUAUUGUAUUUUGGGUAAGAAUGCUAAUAAAGAGAGAAAUUGUGAUGCAGACGGCUCUUUAGGCUACAUCGUACUUGCAGGGGCUUGAGCUUCCCACUGAAGAACUCCUGGCACGGGGCAGACCACAGUCCACAUCACCCCAUGUUCAUGGCUGCAGCCAUAUCCACAUAGAGGAGAUAGAGGAGGGUGCAGGAAAGUCCUGAUCUAGUAUCCUGGAAUAACCUGGACAUCGCACUUAUCCGCAGUUAUUGGCUGGCUCAUGCCCUGAGGCAUAAAGUUAUAGAUCUGUUAUGAAACUGUUCUGCCUACUGUAUCUAUUUAUGGAUGUUCACACCAUGCAUAUAAAUAACUAACCUUUCUCACACCGGUUGAAUCCUUGGUUUCCAAGGAUCUUUGUGGCAAGGAGUUUUCCAGGUGAUGUACCUGUUUAAAUGCUUAGCUGUACUAAAUGCUCCCUGCUUUUGCAACAGGAGCAAGGCAAUAAAAGUUUGUUAUUUCCCUCUCUGUGCAUAUUUAUACACGCCUUUACGAGUUCUCUCUGAUACAGCUGAACUAAACCCUCCUAUCUUUUCAUGUAGAUUCAGUCCAGGAGUGACCAAUUUAAUCUCUUUUUUCUUGUCCCCCCCUCUU